CCUGCUUAGCUUAACCCUGGUCUGUCCCUUUCUGACUUGGCCCGUGAGAUGUCUAUGUUCUCUUUCCCUCCAUCCAGGGAAGGAGCAAAAGCCCCUUGCCAUCCCUGUGUGACAGCAAUGAGGUGAACCCAGGGGCCGAAGCCCACCCAGGGAGUUGAUGGGUAGCUGGGACGAUGAAAGCAUCCCAAGACCUCCCUUUUCCAUCUGUGGCUGAUCACCUCUGGAACCCACAGCUAGCCGGCUGCUCCUCCACUAUCAGAUGGCGGCUGUCAGUCAUGGGCUUGUCACCGAGUGCAUCCGUCAUGCUCGGGCCAUGGGCCGGCACCUGUGUGUGUGUGUCCAGCUUAACGACAGAGAUUUUUGGAAAGACGCCCUAAGAUAGACAUACUU
RNAcentral lists this long non-coding RNA (390 nucleotides) under Homo sapiens (human). Its description in RNAcentral is "non-protein coding lnc-RNMT-6:3". The record is from RNAcentral. Lineage: Eukaryota; Metazoa; Chordata; Mammalia; Primates; Hominidae.